RNAcentral lists this ribosomal RNA (555 nucleotides) under Triticum aestivum (bread wheat). Its description in RNAcentral is "partial small subunit ribosomal RNA". Lineage: Eukaryota; Viridiplantae; Streptophyta; Magnoliopsida; Poales; Poaceae. The record is from RNAcentral.
AUGACGACCCGGACCUCAUUCCUCCUCGUCCUUGCGCUAGCGCUGGCCGUCCAAGCCGCUCCCUCCGCCGGCGCGCCGGUCGCCGACACGGUGGCGGACUCGUGCAACGCGAUCCGCGACUUCGUGGACUACGCCUUCUGCGCCGCGGCGCUGCGGUCCAGCGGGCCGGGCGCCUCCACGGCGGACCGCCACGCGCACCUCCUCGUCGCGGCGGACCUCGCCGCGGCGCGCGGCACGUCGGCGCGGGACGCCGCCACCGCCAUGGCGCGCGACGAGCGGGACCCGGGCGCGCGCGACGGGUUGGAGGCGUGCGGGAUCCUCUACGGGGCCACCUCCGUCCCGGCGCUGCAGUUCAUGCGCGGCUACGCGGCGGCGCGGGCGUGGGACCGGGCGCGCUCGCUGCUGUCGCUCACGGGGCAGGCCGGGAUCGGCUGCGAGGCGGCGCUCGCCGGCGCGCCGGCGGCCAAGGGGAGGAUGGCCGCGGCCAACCGCGAGUUCGACCAGCUCACCACCAUGGCCACCGCGCUGCUCAACAGGGUCGAUCAUGUGGGAUGA